CGGCCCCGCGCGAUCACAUGUAGGCAACCGGCGGAAUUGAAAGCUUCUUGUCCGAUCAAGACAGCCAUUAAUACGUUCGAGGUACACAGUUGUAGACCCCUGGCGAGGGAGAGCAGCCCGCCCAUGGAGUUCAGCCACAUCGUUUCAUCCCCGCUGGCGAGAUCGACGGGAGCCUGCAACCACCGGUUAGGAAACGGAUCCACCACUAUCUUCCAAUCUUCGGCCAUUCUGUUCCCGUCGUUUGUUCGUCCGCGAUUGGCCGGUAAACGGGAUCGCUUCGGGAGAAAGCGCCACCUCGGCACGUACGCCACCUUGGACGCUGCCUCUUUCAUGGUGGCCAGCUCUCGAGACUUGGGAGUAGCUGCGCUUGUGACGGCCGGGGGGUAUUCACUGGUGCGUGCCUUUGAUCGCCUCACGAUGCGAGACCUCAUCGAAAAGAGCUUGAGCAGAAAGAUUGUCCAUGUUUUAUCUGGUCUUCUCUAUACGGCCUCCUGGCCAUUGUUUAGCUCUUCAUCACAGGCAAGAUAUUUUGCAGCCGUUGUUCCUCUUCUGAACUGCAUAAGGCUACUAAUCUAUGGCCUUUCUAUUGUCACCGAUGAAGAUGUGAUAAAUUCAAUUACAAGAGAAGGAAAAUCAGAGGAAUUGCUGAGAGGUCCUCUUUACUAUGUCAUUGUCUUGAUGGUUUCUUCAUUAAUCUUCUGGCGUGAAUCGCCCGUCGGUAUAAUUUCACUAGCUAUGAUGAGUGGUGGAGAUGGUAUUGCUGAUAUAAUCGGUAGAAGAUAUGGAUCUCUGAAGCUUCCUCAUAAUAGAAGAAAGAGCUGGAUGGGAAGCAUUUCAAUGUUCAUUUUUGGUAUUAUUUUCUCAGUCAUGAUGCUUUACUAUUUUUCAGCUUUUGGUUACUUUCAUUUGGGUUGGAGUACAGUUGAGAAGGUAGUCUUGAUUUCUUUUGCCGCCACCGUUGUGGAAUCUCUUCCAUUAUCCGAAGUGAUUGACGACAAUAUUACAGUUCCUGUAACCAGCAUGGUUGCAGCUUGCCUGCUCUUUGGAUUUUAACUGAUGAGAAGGUUCGUGAGGCUUGGACUUCUACGUGCAGACUCCAAUAACAUGCCGCCACAUGUUCUACAUCACGAAGGGAGUCUGCGUGCAGGGCUAUUCGGAGAAAUGGAUUUAUUGUUGUUGUUGUAUUGUUUCGAGAGUUCAAUUAUAAUAAGUUAGAUUUAUUUUUAUUAGUA
Phalaenopsis equestris is the source of this 1232-nucleotide RNA transcript. It is a transcript of the gene named probable phytol kinase 1, chloroplastic, with no coding region annotated. The transcript is spliced from 8 exons. The record is from RefSeq and is a predicted model, not a curated record. Lineage: Eukaryota; Viridiplantae; Streptophyta; Magnoliopsida; Asparagales; Orchidaceae.